UUCUCAGGGGAAUGGCUCAGGAAGGAAAAGGCAGAGUCUGCCUCCAGCUGAACCCUUUGAGAUUGGCCAGAUUCAACGUGUUACAAACAAACAUAUUCCACCUGUUACAACAAUCUGGCAUAUUACUUCCAUGAUACGUGAUGAUACAAUACCUCUCAGGUUUGCUGAGUAGCAAAGAGAAAUUUACAAGCAGCAGCAUCUGGGGAGUGAACAUCCUCUCUCUGCCACAGGAAUAGUGACUUCUGCCUGGAUGGACAACUGCUUAAAUUGCCUCAGCAUGAAUCAUCAGA
This is a long non-coding RNA of Oenanthe melanoleuca, 290 nucleotides long. RefSeq lists it as uncharacterized. The record is from RefSeq and is a predicted model, not a curated record. The transcript is spliced from 3 exons. Lineage: Eukaryota; Metazoa; Chordata; Aves; Passeriformes; Muscicapidae.